UACGGAGGGUGCAAGCGUUAUCCGGAUUCACUGGGCGUAAAGGGUGCGUAGGCGGCGCGGUAAGUCGGGUGUGAAAUCUUGGAGCUUAACUCCGAAACUGCAUUCGAUACUGCCGUGCUUGAGGACUGGAGAGGAGACUGGAAUUUACGGUGUAGCGGUGAAAUGCGUAGAUAUCGUAAGGAAGACCAGUGGCGAAGGCGGGUCUCUGGACAGUUCCUGACGCUGAGGCACGAAGGCCAGGGGAGCAAACGGG
Molecule: ribosomal RNA, 253 nt
Filed under: uncultured bacterium
Lineage: Bacteria
Description: partial 16S ribosomal RNA
Rfam family: Bacterial small subunit ribosomal RNA
Source: RNAcentral